UAGGGAAUAUUGGACAAUGGGCGAAAGCCUGAUCCAGCAAUGCCGCGUGAGCGAUGAAGGCCUUAGGGUUGUAAAGCUCUUUUACCCGAGAAGAUAAUGACGGUAACCGGAGAAGAAGCCCCGGCUAACUUCGUGCCAGCAGCCGCGGUAAUACGAAGGGGGCUAGCGUUGUUCGGAUUUACUGGGCGUAAAGCGCACGUAGGCGGACUUUUAAGUCAGGGUGAAAUCCCAGAGCUCAACUCUGGAACUGCCUUUGAUACUGGAAGUCUUGAGUAUGGUAGAGGUGAGUGGAAUUCCGAGUGUAGAGGUGAAAUUUCGUAGAUAUUCGGAGGAACACCAGUGGCGAAGGCGGCUCACUGGACCAUUACUGACGCUGAGGUGCGAAAGCGUGGGGAGCAAACAGGAUUAGAUACCC
Molecule: ribosomal RNA, 415 nt
Filed under: uncultured bacterium
Lineage: Bacteria
Description: bacterial SSU rRNA
Rfam family: Bacterial small subunit ribosomal RNA
Source: RNAcentral